RNAcentral lists this ribosomal RNA (793 nucleotides) under uncultured bacterium. RNAcentral describes it as "bacterial SSU rRNA". It matches the Rfam family "Bacterial small subunit ribosomal RNA", at positions 8 to 796 of the family's 1533-position model. The record is from RNAcentral.
AGAGUUUGAUCAUGGCUCAGGAUGAACGCUAGCGGCAGGCUUAAUACAUGCAAGUCGAGGGGCAGCACGGGUAGCAAUACCUGGUGGCGACCGGCGAACGGGUGCGUAACACGUAUGCAACUUACCUUAAACUGGGGCAUAACGCUGAGAAAUCGGUGCUAAUUCCCCAUAACACCACGAAACGGCAUCGUUUUGUGAUUAAAGCUCCGGCGGUUUAAGAUGGGCAUGCGCGACAUUAGGUAGUUGGUAAGGUAACGGCUUACCAAGCCUACGAUGUCUAGGGGUUCUGAGAGGAUUAUCCCCCACACUGGUACUGAGACACGGACCAGACUCCUACGGGAGGCAGCAGUAGGGAAUAUUGGGCAAUGGACGCAAGUCUGACCCAGCCAUGCCGCGUGCAGGAUGAAGGCCCUAGUGGUUGUAAACUGCUUUUGUACGGGAAAAAACCCCCCGACGUGUCGGGGGUUGAUGGUACUGUAAGAAUAAGGAUCGGCUAACUCCGUGCCAGCAGCCGCGGUAAUACGGAGGAUCCAAGCGUUAUCCGGAUUUAUUGGGUUUAAAGGGUGCGUAGGCGGAUUUGUAAGUCAGUGGUGAAAUCCUACAGCUUAACUGUAGAACUGCCAUAGAUACUGCAAGUCUUGAGUACAGUUGGCGUGGAUGGAACGUGUCAUGUAGCGGUGAAAUGCUUAGAUAUGACACAGAACACCGAUCGCGAAGGCAGUUCACGAAACUGUAACUGACGCUGAGGCACGAAGGCGUGGGGAUCAAACAGGAUUAGAUACCCUGGUAGUCC